RNAcentral lists this ribosomal RNA (493 nucleotides) under uncultured bacterium. Its description in RNAcentral is "bacterial SSU rRNA". It matches the Rfam family "Bacterial small subunit ribosomal RNA", at positions 28 to 519 of the family's 1533-position model. The record is from RNAcentral.
GAUGAACGCUGGCUGUGUGCCUAAUACAUGCAUGUCGUGCGAAGCAUUUCGGUGCUUAGCGGCGAAUGGGUGAGUAACACGUACUUAAUCUACCUCUAGGUUUGGGACAACAGUUGGAAACGACUGCUAAUACCGAAUAUUCCUUUUCCUCGCAUGGGGAAUUGGUAAAAGGCCCGUUUGGGUCGCCAAGAGAUGAGAGUGCGGUACAUUAGUUAGUUGGUAGGGUAAUGGCCUACCAAGACGAUGAUGUAUAGCGGGGUUGAGAAGCUGAACCGCCACACUGGGACUGAGAUACGGCCCAGACUCCUACGGGAGGCAGCAGUAGGGAAUAUUCCACAAUGAGCGAAAGCUUGAUGGAGCGACACAGCGUGCAGGAUGAAGGUCUUCGGAUUGUAAACUGCUGUUAUAAGGGAAGAAAACCGGUGUAGGAAAUGACAUCGGCUUGACGGUACCUUAUCAGAAAGCACCGGCAAACUAUGUGCCAGCAGCCGCC